UUCAGACAGAGCUGAAUUCCUUGGCCAGAGUAGAGUUCCACUGGCACACCGGGCAGCAAGCGCCAGCCAGCCAACCGUGCAGGCUCCCAGUGGCAGCUGUGGUUUUUCCCCCGCCCGUCGUGGCCGUUGCCGUGGCCAUUUCAUCUGGGGGCUCCAUCUGGGAUAUUCAUCAGAAGGAUCAUAUUUCAAGUGUGCUGGUAGAGCUUCUCCUUUGAUGGAAACAUUUGUUAUACAGGGAAAGAGAAAAGAAGCUCAGAAGGAAUUCCAAUAUUCAGAUGUGACAUAUAGAAGAAAGUGUCGACAUGAAAGAAUUAUCCGCCAGAGAAUUCAGAGGAAAAUCAAGAAUGCAUUAUAUCAUGAAAGUAAAGAAAGGAUAAUGACCCAAAAAAGAGAGAGUUGUUGUUAUGAUGAGUCUCCAAUGAACCUGCUGCAUCCCUGCUGCAUAUCUAUUAUCUGGGGUAAUCUUCCUAAAAAGCAGAGUGUCAAGCAGCAUGCCUGGUUAUUCCAACUUAUGCAGAAAUAGAAGUGUCCUAAGAAGAGUCACUUUACAGCAAAGGAGAUAUGGUGGUACAGAUAUGACGAUGGGACCCAUAAAUACUGUUAUGUACUGCACUGCCAAAGAUGAACAGGCAAUAAAAAAAGCCAGCAUGUUGUCAAGAGUAAUUAACCCUGAUAAUCAAGGGGAGCUUGGGGCAAGAUGGCCGACUAGACACAGCAAGUGGAAUUACCGCCAGCAAGGGACUGAGACAACUGGCGCACUCCUAACAAAUCAUCCGAUGGAAGGCACCAGGAGUGGCCGAGGGAAGACACAGAAGGAAGCUGGGCUGAAACAGGAGGAACAUUGCACUGGGCUACCAUGCGCUGGGACUUGUUCCUGGCCCCCAAGGACUCUCAGGGAAUGGGUGAGUUGAACUUGCAAGGAGCAACCUGUUCUAACCACGGACCUCUGGAAUUCCAGCUGCAGGAGGCCCCUCAACUGCCAUGGACACUCAGGUUGGCAGCCAGAGCUGCUUAGAGAAGUGGUAGGGGCAGCAAGCCAGCGGAUGUAGAACCCAGGGAGUUUGGUGCGAGAACAUUUGUAGCGGAGCACGGUCAGGGACUUCCAUCCCUCUAGGCUUGACAUGCUUUCAUAGGAGACUUUAGUUCUAGGGCAACAGUCGGACUUGAACUCUGCAGGGUGGUCUUGACCAUCAGACAAGGUUGGCCCAACAUGAGCACCCUUUAGUUUGCUGGCCUCUCCCAGAGCCCGAGCCUGGCAGCACCUGCUUGCAGGGAAGCCUCAGGUACCCUGAGGGCCUGCAUCAUAGCUUCUGUACUGGAAGGCCUUCCAUGACAGGGGGUAAGCGCUCCAGAAGUGCAGCUGCCAUGGCCACACACCAGCCUGCCCACUCCCACCCCACACUACAGCUUCCUGUGUGUCUACAGCAAACACCCACAUCACUUUGCUGACACAUAUGUGCACAGAUGGGUUUUGCUUUCUUUACCUUGCCAGCAUAUAUGUGUAAGUGCACCCUGCCGUGCUACUGCUGCAAGAAGAGUGCAGUCCACACCCCCUACCACCACCAUGGCAGUUAGAACCUUGGUGGUCCCAGAGCCAACCAGUCCUACACCGACCAUCACUGGCCAUUUUGCCAACACUGCCAUGGGAAUGAAACUAGUCACAGGGAACAGCAGACCUCCCCACCCUGAGUGACCACCCCUGCCUGUGGCACAUAGAAAACACAAAGAGAAUGCACACAGACCUGUGCCCAUCAGCGCCCUCCCCUAUUGCCAACACUUGUGCAAAUACAAUCGCCAGCAGGGGCCCCUGCCCCCAUAAGUUGCCUUUCCUCUGCCACUGUAGUCUACACUUGAGUGGAGACAGGCAUGCAGGCACCUGCUAACACCCUGCUGUAGCUGACCAGCAUGCACCCCACUGUGCUUCUGCUGCUGGCACAUGCAAAUGAGGAUGUAUUCCAUUGUCACCAAACUAGAAAAGGCUUUGACUGGUACCACCCAUCAGAAUGUAGGGACCAGUGGUUGGAGAGCACCAUGGCUCCCUCAGUGCAAAGGGAUUCGUAACCUCAAGGAGACAAACAACAAGAUUUGCUGGAUACAAGUUCCCCAGAAUUAGAGCAGGCAAUCCAAGAGUUUGGUAGCUGGGUGUUGGCUAUCUAGAAUCUUCCAGAAAUGAAGCAAGUUGGCUGAAUUCACCUUAUACCACAAUUAUGUCCUCAAAAUUAUCAAAUAGGAUAAAAGAAAAAAAUGCAUCCAAAGGUCAGCAACUUCAAAGAUUGAAGGAACAUAAGGAACGUUAAGUCCAAAAAGAUGAGAAAGAACCAGUGCAAGAACCCUGAAAACUGAAAGAGCCAUAGUGCCUUCUUUCCUUCCAAUGACCACACCACCUCCACCACCUCCUCUCCACGGGUUCUGAACCAAGCUGAGAUGGCUGUAAUGACAGAAAUUGAAUUCAGAGUAUGGAUAGGAGCAAUGCAUUGAAAACCAAUCCAAGGAAGCUAAGAAUCACAAAAAAAUAAUGCAGAAGCUGACAGACAAAGUAGCUAGUAUAGAAAAUAAUGUAAAGGAAUUCAUUACCAGCAGACAUGCCUUACAAGAGCUCCUGAAGGAAGCACUAAACAUGGAAAGGAAAGAAUAAAAUAGCCAGUAUAGAAAAGAACGUAAGGGAAUCCAUUACCAUCAGACCUGCCUUACAAGAGCUCCUGAAGGAAGCACUAAAUAUGGAAGGGAAAGAACAUCACCAGCCACUAUAAAAACACACUUAAGUACACAGACCAGUGACAUUAUAAAGUAACCACAUAAACAAGUCUGCAUAAUAAUCAAUUAACAUCAUGAUGACAGAAUAAAUGCACAUAUAUAAAUAUUCACCUUGAAUGUAAAUAAGCUAAAUGCCUCAAGUAAAAGGCACAAAGCAGUAAGCUGGAUAAAGAACCAAGACCUAUUGAUACACUGUCUUUAAGAGAUCAUCUCACAUGCAAUGACACCUUUAAAAUCAAAAUAAAGGGAUGGAGAAAAACCUACCAAGCAAAUGGAAAACAGAAAAAAAGCAGGAGUUGCAAUCCUAGUUUUACACAGAACGACAAGCCCAGGACCAGAUGGAUUCACAGCUGAAUUCUACCAGAUGUACAAAGAAGGGCUGGUACCAUCCUUGCUGAAACUACUCCAAAAAAAUUGAGGAAGUGGGAUUCCUCCCUAAAUCAAUCUAUGAGGCCAGCAUCAUCCUCAUACCAAAACCUGGAAGAAACACAACAAAAAAAGAAAACUUCAGGCCAAUAUCCUUGAUGAACAUUGAUGCAAAAGCCCUCGAAAAAAAAAAAAAAAAAACUUGCAAACCAAACUCAGCAGCACAUCAAAAAGCUUAUCCACCAUAAUAAAGUUGGCUUUAUCCCAAGGAUGAUAGGUUGGCUGAACAUAAAUAAAUCAAUAAAAAUGAUUCAUCACAUAAACAGAAAUAAAGACAAAAACUACAUGAUUAUAGAUGCAAAAAAAGCUUUUGAUAAAAGUUAAUACUUCUUCAUGUUAAAAACUCUCAGUAAACUUGGUAUUGAAGGAAUAUACCUCAGAACAGUAAGAGUUAUCUAUGACAAAACCACAGCCAACAUCAUACCUGAAUGGGCAAAAUUUGGAAGUGUUCCCCUCGAAAACCAGAAUAAGACAAGGAUGCCCUCUCUCACUACUCCUAUUCAACAUAUAAUUAGAAGUCCUGGCCAGAGCAAUCAGGCAAGAGAAAGAAAUAAAGGGCAUCCAAAUAGGAAGAGAGGAAGUUAAAAUAUCCCUGUUUGCAGACAUGAUCCUAUAUCUAGAAAAUCCUAUAGUAAGGACCCAAAAGUUCCUUAAGCUGAUAAACAAUGUCAUCAAAGCCUCAGGAUGCAAAAAUCAGUGUACAAAAAUCACUAGCAUUCCUAUACUCCAACAAGGGUCAAGCCAAGAGCCAAAUCUGGAACGCAACCCCAUUCACAAUUGCCACAAAAACAAUAAAAUACCUGGGAAUACAGUUAAUAAGGGAGGUGAAAUAUCUAUGCAAGGAGAACUAACAAACAAUGCUCAAAGAAAUCAGAGGUGACACAAACAAAUAAACAUCCUAUGCUCAGCUCAUGGAUUAGAAGGAUCAAUAUUGUUAAAAUGGCCAUACUGCCCAAAGAAAUUUUUUAAUUAAAUGCUAUUCCUAUUAAAUUACCAAUGACAUGCUUCACAGAACUAGAAAAAACUAUUUUAAAAUUUAUGUGGAUCCAAAAAAGAACCUGAAUAGUCAAGGCAAUCCAAAGCAAAAAGAACAUCCAGCUUAGGAUACCUCCUAAGCUGGAGCCAACGCUCUACCUGACUUCAAAGUAUAAUACAGGGCUACAGUAGCCAAAACAGCAUGGUCAUGGUACAAAAACAGACACCUAGACCAAUAAAGCAGAAUAGAGAGCCCAGAAAUAAAGCCACACAACUACAACCAUCUGAUCUUUGACAAAGCUGACAAAAACAAGCAAUGGGGAAAGGAUUUUCUAUUUCAUAAAUGGCCCUGGGAUAGCUAGCUAACCACAUGCAGAAGAUUGAAAUUAGACCUUUCCUUAUUACCAUAUACAAAAAUUAAUUCAGUAUUUAAAAAAUACCUAAAUGUAAAACCCAAAACUAUAAAAACCCUGGAAAACAACCUGGGCGGUACAAUUCUGGACAUAGAAACAAGCAAAGAUUUCAUGAAGAAGAUGCCAAAAAUUAUUGCAAUUAAAACAAAAAUUGACAAGUGGGAUUUAAUUAUACUUAAGAGCUUUUGCACAGCAAAAGAAUCUAUCAGCAGAGUAAACACACCACCCACAGAAUGGGAGAAAAUUUUUUCAAACAGUGUAUCUGACAAAGGACUAAUAUCCAGUAUCUAUAAGUAACUUAAAAAAAUUUACAAGAAAAAAACAAACAAACAGGCAGUGUGCAGUGGCUCACAACUAUAAUCCCAGCACUUUUGGAGGCCAAAGCAGAUUGAUCACUUGGGCCUAGGAGUUUGAGGCCAGUCUGGGCAACAUGGUGAAACCACAUCUCUACAAAAUAAAUAAAUAAAAAUAAAAAUAAAAAUUACAACAACAAAAACGCUAGGUGUGGUGGUGUGUGCCUGUAGUCCUAGCUACUUGGGAGGCUGAGAUGGGAGGAUCCCUUGAACAAAGGAGACAGAGGCUGCAGUGAGCUGAAAUUGCACCACUGCCCUCCAGCCUAGAUGACAGAGUGAGAUCCUGUUUCAAAACAAACAAAUAAUUCCAUUAAAAAGUGGGUAAAAGAUAUGAAUGGACACUUUUCAAAAGAACACAUACAUUCAGCCAACAAUCAUAUGAAAAGAAGCUCAACAUCACUGAUGAUUAGACAAAUGCAAAUCAAAACCAAAGAGAAAAACAUCUCACACAAGUCAGAAUGAUUAUUAUUAAAACUCAAAAACUAACAGAUGCUGCCAAGGUUGUGGAGAAAAAGAAACACUUAUACACUGUUGUUGGGAGGGUAAAUUAGUUCAACCAUUGUGGAAGACAGUGUGGCCAUUCCUCAAAGACCUAAAAAUCGAAGUACCAUCCAACCCAGCAAUCUCAUCACUGGGUAUAAACCCAAAAGAAUAUAAAUCAUUUUAUCAUAAACACACAUGCACACAUAUGUUUGUUGCAACACUAUUCACAAUAGCAAAGACAUGGAAUCAACCUAAAUGCCCAUCAAAGGUAGAGGGGAUAAAGAAAAUGUGGUACAUAUAGACCAUGGAAUACUAUGCAGCCAUAAAAAUGAAUGAGAUAAUGUCUUUUGCAGGAAUAUGGAAGGAACCGAAGGUUCUUACCCUUAGCAAACUCACAUGAACAGAAAACCAAAUACCACAUGUUUUGACCUAUAAGUAGGAGCUAAAUGAUGAUUACACAUGGACACGUAGAAGAAGGGAACAGCAGACACUGGGAUCUAUUGGAGGGUGAAGGGUAGGAAGAGGGAGAAGAUCAGGAAAAAUAACUAAUUGGUACUAGACUUAAUACCUGGGUGAUGAAAUAAUCUGUACAACAAAUCCCCAUGACACAAGUCUACCUAUAUAACAAAUACACACAGGUACCUCUAAACUUAAAAUAAAAGUUAAAGAAACAAAGGCACUCUUAGAAUGCUGAAUUGAAAUGGAGUCAGUGGGCAGGCCCAGGCUUCCAUCCCAGAAAAAUGAUGGAGAUUUUUUUCCACUCUUGAAAAAGCACAAUGAGAUACCAUCUCACAUAAAUCAGAAUGGCUAUGUUUAAAAAGUUUAGAAAACAACAGAUGCUGAUGAGACUGCAGAGAAAAGAGAUCACUUACACAUUGUUGUUGGGAAUGCAAAUUAGUUCAGCCACUGUGGAAACAGUUUGGAGAUUUCUUGAAGAACUUGAAACAGAACUACAUCUGACCCAAAAAUCUAAAAGAAAAUAAAUCAUUCCACCAGAAUGACAC
This 6408-nucleotide long non-coding RNA is filed under the name Homo sapiens (human). Its description in RNAcentral is "PREDICTED lncRNA (TCONS_00174157)". The record is from RNAcentral. Lineage: Eukaryota; Metazoa; Chordata; Mammalia; Primates; Hominidae.